AAGUUAAGAGUAAAUACUGCUUUCUUAAUUAUGAUUUUUGAGUAAAUGUUUUUUUUCCGAGCUCCGCAUGUCAACUACGUCAUGACGUUUUCUCUCUAACCUGAACGACAUUGACAGAAAACUCUUUUCAAUAUGGCUGCCCUUCUCGAGCGACUGGAGAGCACAUUUGGAGAAACUUGCUGAAGACCGACGAUAAAAAGACAGAAGGAAAAAAAAAUUCAGACUGCAAGUAAUUUCAGAUCUACCAAGGGUCAGUGGCACAGUUCACCUUUUGUGGAGGCGCCUGAUAUCAACGUGAAACGCACUGCAGUACUUUGUGCCCUUCCUGUAUACCUGUGGGAGCAGGACCCAGAAUUCUUUAAGACAUGUAAUGAGGACGCAUUGGAUGAGUCCACCCUCAUUGACACUCCAUUUGCCCUUCUCACAGUGGUUAACCCUAGAACACUAUCGCCGGGUGAUUUACACCCGAGCAAAUACAUUUACAUGAUUUCUCUCUCCUGCAGCUGUUUGCGUGUCGAGGAGCCUGUGCCUUCACCAGGGAAGUCUCAAAUUUCCCAGGAAUGGGUGGACCAAAGACCAGCUUUCCAGAGUCAUUAUUUUGUUUUAGGAGGUUUUUUUUUUUCAUUUUGUUAGACAUGGCACAGUUGAAAGUAAAAGAAGAUCACUCUAAUUUGUCAUGUGUUGUCAUAUUUUGAUAUAUUUGAUUACUUUUUAUUGGUUAUAUUAUAUCGGGUAAAAAUCACCCGGCAUUAGUGAUUGUGUUACUAUUUAUAGCGAUAGUGUUCUAGGGUUAAGGACGGCGCUUCCCAGUCCAGCCCAUUUUACUUCCUCAAGCAUGGCUGUUGUGGUGAAAGGCGACUAGGUGAUGCGUGAUAUUCCCAGAUUUGCAGAUGCAUUUGCUUUAUUGUUUGGCUUGAUUUAUGCUGUGCAUUUAGACUACCCCAGGAAGCUCGUUCACACAUUUACCUUUGUCCAAAAUAUCUUCAUGGGGCUUGAUGACGGCAAACCCCUGAAACCCCUGCCUACAUGCUCUUAAGGAAUAUAAGGCAAUGUUUGUUAGGACAUGCACUCUGUUACUGAGCACUUUGUUUGAAGCACUUUAAGUUUACUACAGGCUUUGGGUGGAUUUAACUCCAUCAGUUUAUUCCUCCAUUUAGAGAGAGAGAACACAACAGCAAAGCCACAUCUCUUGGCACGUAACACUAUACUAUACUUGACCUGUUCUGGUUAUUUGGAAGCUGAUCGUCUUUCUUUGUACCCAUUUUAAAAAAAAUUGUUUUUCAUUUCUAUUUUAAAAAAAAGUGAUUAGUAUUUGACUUUUUGUUUUGCAUUUUUAUGUAUUUUGGGAAAGAUACAAUUAGGACUGAUGUCGUCCUCUGUGAUUUUAAAAAAAGAUAAAUGUUCUACACUGAAUUUAUAAUGCUCACUUUAUGGUGCCCAUG
Molecule: long non-coding RNA, 1442 nt
Organism: Pelmatolapia mariae (spotted tilapia)
Lineage: Eukaryota; Metazoa; Chordata; Actinopteri; Cichliformes; Cichlidae
Exons: 5
Source: RefSeq, a predicted model, not a curated record